GAUGAACGCUGGCGGCGUGCCUAAUACAUGCAAGUCGAGCGAACAGACGAGGAGCUUGCUCCUUUGACGUUAGCGGCGGACGGGUGAGUAACACGUAGGUAACCUACCUAUAAGACUGGGAUAACUUCGGGAAACCGGAGCUAAUACCGGAUAAUAUUUCGAACCGCAUGGUUCGAUAGUGAAAGAUGGCUUUGCUAUCACUUAUAGAUGGACCUGCGCCGUAUUAGCUAGUUGGUAAGGUAACGGCUUACCAAGGCAACGAUACGUAGCCGACCUGAGAGGGUGAACGGCCACACCGGAACUGGGACACGGGCCAGACUCCUACGGGAGGCAGCAGUAGGGAAUCUUCCGCAAUGGGCGAAAGCCUGACGGAGCAAAGCCGCGUGAGUGAUGAAGGUCUUCGGAUCGGAAAACUCUGUUAUUAGGGAAGAACAAACGUGUAAGUAACUGUGCACGUCUUGACGGUACCUAAUCAGAAAGCCACGGCUAACUACGUG
RNAcentral lists this ribosomal RNA (497 nucleotides) under uncultured bacterium. RNAcentral's name for it is "partial 16S ribosomal RNA". It matches the Rfam family "Bacterial small subunit ribosomal RNA", at positions 28 to 507 of the family's 1533-position model. The record is from RNAcentral.